Molecule: ribosomal RNA, 119 nt
Filed under: Pteropus alecto (black flying fox)
Lineage: Eukaryota; Metazoa; Chordata; Mammalia; Chiroptera; Pteropodidae
Source: RNAcentral
GUCUACAGCCAUGCCACCCUGAACAAGCCCAAUUCCAUCUGAUCUCAGAAGCUAAUCAGGGUUGGGCCUGGCUAGUACUUGGAUGGGAGACCACCUAGGAAGACCAGGUGCUGUAUGUG